GACGAACGCUGGCGGCGUGCCUAACACAUGCAAGUCGAGCGAGUGAAUCUCCUUCGGGAGUGAAGCUAGCGGCGGACGGGUGAGUAACACGCGGGCAACCUGCCUCAUAGAGGGGAAUAGCCUUUCGAAAGGAAGAUUAAUACCGCAUAAGAUUGUAGCUUCGCAUGAAGUAGCAAUUAAAGGAGCAAUCCGCUAAGAGAUGGGCCCGCGGCGCAUUAGCUAGUUGGUGAGGUAACGGCUCACCAAGGCGACGAUGCGUAGCCGACCUGAGAGGGUGAUCGGCCACAUUGGGACUGAGACACGGCCCAGACUCCUACGGGAGGCAGCAGUGGGGAAUAUUGCACAAUGGGGGAAACCCUGAUGCAGCAACGCCGCGUGAGUGAUGACGGCCUUCGGGUUGUAAAGCUCUGUCUUCAGGGACGAUAAUGACGGUACCUGAGGAGGAAGCCACGGCUAACUACGUGCCAGCAGCCGCGGUAA
This 480-nucleotide ribosomal RNA is filed under the name uncultured bacterium. RNAcentral's name for it is "partial 16S ribosomal RNA". It matches the Rfam family "Bacterial small subunit ribosomal RNA", at positions 28 to 523 of the family's 1533-position model. The record is from RNAcentral.